UACGUAGGGGGCAAGCGUUGUCCGGAAUCAUUGGGCGUAAAGCGCGUGUAGGCGGCUUGGUAAGUCCGUUCUGAAAGCCCGGGGCUCAACCCCGGGAGGCGGAUGGAUACUGUCAAGCUUGAGUCCGGAAGAGGCGAGUGGAAUUCCCGGUGUAGAGGUGAAAUGCGCAGAUAUCGGGAGGAACACCAAUGGCGAAGGCAGCUCGCUGGGACGUGACUGACGCUGAGACGCGAAAGCGUGGGGAGCAAACAGG
Molecule: ribosomal RNA, 253 nt
Filed under: uncultured bacterium
Lineage: Bacteria
Description: partial 16S ribosomal RNA
Rfam family: Bacterial small subunit ribosomal RNA
Source: RNAcentral